GUCUGCUUGAACUUUUAAGCAGUCUAGCCUGCCCACUGAAUAAUUUAAAGGCCGCGGUAUAUUGACCGUGCAAAGGUAGCAUAAUAAUUAGUCUUUUAAUUGAAGACUAGAAUGAAAGGCUGAACAAAAAGCAACCUCUCUCAUUUUUUUUUAUUGAACUUAACUUUUAAGUGAAAAGGCUUAAAUAAUCUAGGGGGACGACAAGACCCUAUAAAACUUCAUAUUUUAACUAUAAAUUAAAAAAUUUCUGUAUAAAAUAACCUAUUUUUUAAAAUAUUUUGUUGGGGCGACAAAAGUAUAACUUCUAACUGCUUUUUCUCUUAUACAAAUAUAUUUGUUUAAUUGAUCCCUUAAAGGAUUUUAAGAAAAAGUUACUUUAGGGAUAACAGCGUAAUUUUUUUUAAGAGUCCGUAUCGACAAAAAAGUUUGCGACCUCGAUGUUGAAUUAAAAUCUCCUUAUAGUGCAGCAAUUAUAAAGGAAGGUCUGUUCGACCUUUAAAUUUUUACAUGAUUUGAGUUCAAACCGGUGUGAG
RNAcentral lists this ribosomal RNA (533 nucleotides) under Eucalliaxiopsis aequimana. RNAcentral describes it as "partial large subunit ribosomal RNA". It matches the Rfam family "Bacterial large subunit ribosomal RNA", at positions 1829 to 2625 of the family's 2925-position model. The record is from RNAcentral. Lineage: Eukaryota; Metazoa; Arthropoda; Malacostraca; Decapoda; Eucalliacidae.